Long non-coding RNA from Micropterus dolomieu (smallmouth bass), 715 nucleotides. RefSeq lists it as uncharacterized. Lineage: Eukaryota; Metazoa; Chordata; Actinopteri; Centrarchiformes; Centrarchidae. The transcript has 4 exons. The record is from RefSeq and is a predicted model, not a curated record.
CCCUAAACGUCCGACCGCUUGACCUGUCGCACUCUAGAGGUCCCCCCUAAACGUCCGACCGCUUCACCUGUCGCACUCUGGAGGUCCCCCCUAAACGUCCGACCGCUUCACCUGUCGCACUCUGGAGGUCCCCCCUAAACGUCCGACCGCUUGACCUGUCGCACUCUGGAGGUCCCCACUAAACGUCCGACCGCUUCACCUGUCGCACUCUGGAGGUCCCCCCUAAACGUCCGACCGCUUGACCUGUCGCACUCUGGAGGUCCCCCCUAAACGUCCGACCGCUUCACCUGUCGCACUCUGGAGGUCCCCCCUAAACGUCCGACCGCUUGACCUGUCGCACUCUGGAGGUCCCCCCGCUUCACCUGUCGCACUCUAGAGGUCCCCCCUAAACGUCCGACCGCUUGACCUGUCGUACUCUGGAGGUCCCCCCUAAACAUCACCUCCCACUCUCCUUUUAAAACGUAUCCGACACCAAAACAUUGAGGGAAAAAAAUACAUAAAGGAAGAUUUAACAGUUUCUUUUUUACAUGUGAAGGAAAAAACAACACACACAAAGCAUGUUCAUGAAGGCAGAAUAGGUGACUAUUACAUGAUGUGUAAACAGAUUUUUUUAAAGACUAAUGACAAAGAGAUUUUGCAUUAGAUUGUAUUAGAACAAAAUCAUUAAUGUUUUGUAUAAACGGUGACUACGGUGAUAUAUCAUUGUUUUCAUUCU